RNAcentral lists this small RNA (502 nucleotides) under uncultured Glomus. RNAcentral describes it as "SSU rRNA". It matches the Rfam family "Eukaryotic small subunit ribosomal RNA", at positions 569 to 1075 of the family's 1831-position model. Lineage: Eukaryota; Fungi; Glomeromycota; Glomeromycetes; Glomerales; Glomeraceae. The record is from RNAcentral.
AGCAGCCGCGGUAAUUCCAGCUCCAAUAGCGUAUAUUAAAGUUGUUGCAGUUAAAAAGCUCGUAGUUGAAUUUCGGGGUCAGCAGGUUGGUCGUGCCAAUGGUAUGCACUGGCCUUGCUGAUUCCUCCCUCUUGAUGAGCCGUAAUGCAAUUAAUUUGGUGUUGCGGGGAAUCAGGACUGUUACUUUGAAAAAAUUAGAGUGUUUAAAGCAGGCAUGCGCUUGAAUACAUUAGCAUGGAAUAAUGAAAUAGGACGUUUGAUCCUAUUUUGUUGGUUUCUAGGAUUGACGUAAUGAUUAAUAGGGAUAGUUGGGGGCAUUAGUAUUCAAUUGUCAGAGGUGAAAUUCUUGGAUUUAUUGAAGACUAACUACUGCGAAAGCAUUUGCCAAGGAUGUUUUCAUUAAUCAAGAACGAAAGUUAGGGGAUCGAAGACGAUCAGAUACCGUCGUAGUCUUAACCAUAAACUAUGCCGACUAGGGAUCGGAUGAUGUUAAUUUUUUAAU